GUCAGCACAAACCGGAACCUCCAACCCGUAGCUCGACCGAGGGAUGCUGAUGUCGGGGGAAACCCUCCCAUGAACCAGUGGGAUAGAGCGAAAGACAAAGACCGGAACAUACGAAAGCGCCCAGUUGUGGCGCUUUCGUUUU
Molecule: small RNA, 142 nt
Filed under: Enterobacteriaceae bacterium strain FGI 57
Lineage: Bacteria; Pseudomonadati; Pseudomonadota; Gammaproteobacteria; Enterobacterales; Enterobacteriaceae
Also listed under: 1 other name
Description: sraL Hfq binding RNA
Rfam family: sraL Hfq binding RNA
About the family: The SraL RNA ('sra' for small RNA), discovered in E. coli, and later in Salmonella Tiphimurium. It is expressed only in stationary phase. The major stationary phase regulator RpoS is transcriptionally regulating SraL and directly binds to the sraL gene promoter.
Source: Rfam by way of RNAcentral